This 28-nucleotide non-coding RNA is filed under the name Rattus norvegicus (Norway rat). Lineage: Eukaryota; Metazoa; Chordata; Mammalia; Rodentia; Muridae. The record is from RNAcentral.
UAUCAAGGAACAGCAGGGCCGCAGGACG